AUACCACCCUGUAGCUUCUUUAAGCCCGGAGACUACAUUUCCCAGAGAGCCAUGCGGGGCCAGGAUGUGCGUAACGCGCAGGCGCCGGGACAUUUUUCUGUUUAUAUAAGGGAGGUGCGCGGUUUGUCUUCCUCUUUCUGAUCUCCGCUUCUUUAGUGUUUGCUUUGUGUCGUUCUUCAUCCGGAGCCAUCGUGGUCUUGGAAUGCCUCUUGGUGAACUACUUCUGGAAGGAGGAGGGAGGCAUAUUAUGGGGAUUUUGGAGACCUGGGUGUUUAGGUACCAUGACCCCAUGCUGGCUUCUCUUCUGAUUUCAUCAGGAAUUUAAAAUUGGUGGAUGACCAAUUGAAAUGAAGUAAGUGAAAUUUGGAGACUUGAAAAAUCUGAGGUGUGGCCUUAAAUGAAGAAGACAGCCUUUGCUUAUGAAUAUGAAACAUUGAGUUGGCUGUUCCAGCUGUUAUUAGAAUAAAAUAGUCUUGUUUUACA
Molecule: long non-coding RNA, 483 nt
Filed under: Vombatus ursinus (common wombat)
Lineage: Eukaryota; Metazoa; Chordata; Mammalia; Diprotodontia; Vombatidae
Description: lncRNA (ENSVURG00010000214.1)
Source: RNAcentral